This 526-nucleotide small RNA is filed under the name Pan troglodytes (chimpanzee). Its description in RNAcentral is "processed transcript". Lineage: Eukaryota; Metazoa; Chordata; Mammalia; Primates; Hominidae. The record is from RNAcentral.
CAGGACCCCAGGAACCCUGUCUGCCCUGCAGCCCGCUCGCUCCCUGUGAGCGACUCGGUCCUGAGUGGGUUUGAGCAGCGGGUCCAGGAGGCCCACCUGACUGAGGACCAGAUCUUCUACUUCCCCAAGUACGGCUUCUGCGAGGCUGCAGACCAGUUCCACGUCCUGGACGGUGAGUGCACAGCGGGGCAAGCAUGGCGGCGUGGUGAGGGGGGCCACUGCCACCGGCUGAGUCUCGUCUCCGCUGCAGAAGUGAGGAGGUGAGGCCGGCGUGGUGAGGGGGGCCACUGCCACCGGCUGAGUCUCAUCCCUGCUGCAGAAGUGAGGAGGUGAGGCCGGCACACAGCUCCAGUGCUGAGAAGUCAGUGCCCCGAGAGACGACCCCACCAGUGGGGUGCCCGCUGCCCGUCCUCUGUGAAACCAGCCUCAGAUCAGGGCCCUGCCACCCGGGGCAGGGGAUCUUCUGCUGGCUGCCCCAGAGGACAGUGGGUGGAGUGGUACCUACUUAUUAAAUGUCUCAGACCCC